Molecule: transfer RNA, 72 nt
Filed under: Panesthia sloanei
Lineage: Eukaryota; Metazoa; Arthropoda; Insecta; Blattodea; Blaberidae
Description: tRNA-Cys
Source: RNAcentral
AGUCUUAUAUUCAAUGGAAUGAUAACAGAAUGCAAUUCUGUAGGAGUAAAUAAAAUUUAUUUGCUAAGACUU